RNAcentral lists this ribosomal RNA (427 nucleotides) under uncultured bacterium. Its description in RNAcentral is "bacterial SSU rRNA". It matches the Rfam family "Bacterial small subunit ribosomal RNA", at positions 355 to 774 of the family's 1533-position model. The record is from RNAcentral.
UGGGGAAUUUUGGACAAUGGGCGCAAGCCUGAUCCAGCAAUGCCGCGUGCAGGAUGAAGGCCUUCGGGUUGUAAACUGCUUUUGUACGGAGCGAAAAGGUCUGCCCUAAUACGGUGGGCUCAUGACGGUACCGUAAGAAUAAGCACCGGCCAACUACGUGCCAGCAGCCGCGGUAAUACGUAGGGUGCGAGCGUUAAUCGGAAUUACUGGGCGUAAAGCGUGCGCAGGCGGUUAUAUAAGACAGGUGUGAAAUCCCCGGGCUCAACCUGGGACCUGCAUUUGUGACUGUAUAGCUAGAGUACGGUAGAGGGGGAUGGAAUUCCGCGUGUAGCAGUGAAAUGCGUAGAUAUGCGGAGGAACACCGACGGCGAAGGCAAUCCCCUGGACCUGUACUGACGCUCAUGCACGAAAGCGUGGGGAGCAAACA